Molecule: transfer RNA, 70 nt
Filed under: Dipodomys ordii (Ord's kangaroo rat)
Lineage: Eukaryota; Metazoa; Chordata; Mammalia; Rodentia; Heteromyidae
Rfam family: tRNA
About the family: Transfer RNA (tRNA) molecules are approximately 80 nucleotides in length. Their secondary structure includes four short double-helical elements and three loops (D, anti-codon, and T loops). Further hydrogen bonds mediate the characteristic L-shaped molecular structure. tRNAs have two regions of fundamental functional importance: the anti-codon, which is responsible for specific mRNA codon recognition, and the 3' end, to which the tRNAs corresponding amino acid is attached (by aminoacyl-tRNA synthetases). tRNAs cope with the degeneracy of the genetic code in two manners: having more than one tRNA (with a specific anti-codon) for a particular amino acid; and 'wobble' base-pairing, i.e. permitting non-standard base-pairing at the 3rd anti-codon position.
Source: Rfam by way of RNAcentral
GGGAAUGUGGCUUAGUGGUAGAGUACUUGCCUAGCAUGCAUGAAGACCUGAGUUCAAUUCCUCAGUACCA